Molecule: ribosomal RNA, 253 nt
Filed under: uncultured bacterium
Lineage: Bacteria
Description: partial 16S ribosomal RNA
Rfam family: Bacterial small subunit ribosomal RNA
Source: RNAcentral
UACGUAGGAGGCGAGCGUUAUCCGGAUUUACUGGGCGUAAAGCGGGCGUAGGCGGCCUGUCAAGUCCGAUGUGAAAUCUCCCGGCUUAACUGGGAGGGGUCAUCAGAAACUGAUGGGCUGGAGUGCAGCAGAGGAAGAUGGAAUUCCCGGUGUAGUGGUGAAAUGCGUAGAUAUCGGGAGGAACACUAGUGGCGAAGGCGGUCUUCUGGGCUGUAACUGACGCUGAGGUCCGAAGGUGCGGGGAGCAAACAGG